GUCUUGGCUACAUCGCAACCAAUUCAUAACUUUUGAGGGCUAAAUGGAAAAAAUUGAAAUAUUUGUGGUGUAAGUCCAAAUCGCAAGAAGUUGGAGUUUCCAUAUGAUUUAUCCUUAGAUAAAUAAUAUAAGAGCAAGAAUUUAACACCAAAAAUAAAACCACCAUCCACUAUAGUUAACCUCAUUCAAUGAUAAACUUCAAACACAUCCCAUAUACAUAAGUAUUCCAAAAAAAGUUUCAUAAACUAUUAAGUAGAAUAGUUCAAUUUAAUGGAAUAAAAUUAUUCGAUAAUUUUCCAAUCACCCUACAAUGCAAAUAAUGAUAUUAAUAUAAUAGUUUGAGCAUAUACAAAAAAAAUUUAGCAAAAUAAUUUUUAAAACAGCAUGCCAUAUUCAUUUACCUUAUCAUAAUAUAUAAAUUGAUGUUAAUUUAUUUGAGCUUUCAAUGGAGAUGGAAUAGCUAUCUGACAUAGAAUCAAGAUCAUAAACAAUGGAUGUAAUAGGAUCCAAAAUAAAAUUAAAAAAAUAACUAGUAAGAUACUUUAAAUGAGAUAAAUUUAAUAAAAAUAUUAUAUAUAAACCUAUAAUUUAUCUUUUCUCUCAAAUCUUAGCCAAUCCUAAAAUAAAUCAUAGCUUCAAUAAUAUCAUGAUCUAAUUAUUGAACUACAAAAUUUAUCUAUUACUCUUUUAUCUGUGUUAAAUGUUGAUUCUGAUGCUACCAUAGAUACUAAAAUUACCAAAUAUUUCUUACAACUAGAGGUAAGAUAUGAUACUAUAUAUGAACCAUUAGACUUUUACCUAGAUAAGAGAUCAAAGAUAUCACUUUCAAUGCAUGGAUUAGGGCUGAAAAUGAUUCGGUC
This 860-nucleotide long non-coding RNA is filed under the name Elaeis guineensis (African oil palm). RNAcentral describes it as "long non-coding RNA (EGUI_LNC033277)". The record is from RNAcentral. Lineage: Eukaryota; Viridiplantae; Streptophyta; Magnoliopsida; Arecales; Arecaceae.